Molecule: ribosomal RNA, 1355 nt
Filed under: uncultured bacterium
Lineage: Bacteria
Description: bacterial SSU rRNA
Rfam family: Bacterial small subunit ribosomal RNA
Source: RNAcentral
AUUGAACGCUGGCGGCAGGCUUAACACAUGCAAGUCGAACGAUGAUUUCCCAGCUUGCUGGGAAUGAUUAGUGGCGGACGGGUGAGUAACAUUUAGGAAUCUGCCUAGUAGUGGGGGAUAGCUCGGGGAAACUCGAAUUAAUACCGCAUACGACCUACGGGUGAAAGGGGGCGCAAGCUCUUGCUAUUAGAUGAGCCUAAAUCAGAUUAGCUAGUUGGUGGGGUAAAGGCCCACCAAGGCGACGAUCUGUAACUGGUCUGAGAGGAUGAUCAGUCACACCGGAACUGAGACACGGUCCGGACUCCUACGGGAGGCAGCAGUGGGGAAUAUUGGACAAUGGGGGCAACCCUGAUCCAGCCAUGCCGCGUGUGUGAAGAAGGCCUUUUGGUUGUAAAGCACUUUAAGCAGGGAGGAGAGGCUAAUGGUUAAUACCCAUUAGAUUAGACGUUACCUGCAGAAUAAGCACCGGCUAACUCUGUGCCAGCAGCCGCGGUAAUACAGAGGGUGCGAGCGUUAAUCGGAAUUACUGGGCGUAAAGCGAGUGUAGGUGGCUCAUUAAGUCACAUGUGAAAUCCCCGGGCUUAACCUGGGAACUGCAUGUGAUACUGGUGGUGCUAGAAUAUGUGAGAGGGAAGUAGAGUUCCAGGUGUAGCGGUGAAAUGCGUAGAGAUCUGGAGGAAUACCGAUGGCGAAGGCAGCUUCCUGGCAUAAUAUUGACACUGAGAUUCGAAAGCGUGGGUAGCAAACAGGAUUAGAUACCCUGGUAGUCCACGCCGUAAACGAUGUCUACUAGCCGUUGGGGUCCUUGAGACUUUAGUGGCGCAGUUAACGCGAUAAGUAGACCGCCUGGGGAGUACGGCCGCAAGGUUAAAACUCAAAUGAAUUGACGGGGGCCCGCACAAGCGGUGGAGCAUGUGGUUUAAUUCGAUGCAACGCGAAGAACCUUACCUGGUCUUGACAUAGUGAGAAUCUCUCAGAGAUGAGAGAGUGCCUUCGGGAAUCCACAUACAGGUGCUGCAUGGCUGUCGUCAGCUCGUGUCGUGAGAUGUUGGGUUAAGUCCCGCAACGAGCGCAACCCUUUUCCUUAUUUGCCAGCGGGUUAAGCCGGGAACUUUAAGGAUACUGCCAGUGACAAACUGGAGGAAGGCGGGGACGACGUCAAGUCAUCAUGGCCCUUACGACCAGGGCUACACACGUGCUACAAUGGUAGGUACAGAGGGUUGCUACACAGCGAUGUGAUGCUAAUCUCAAAAAGCCUAUCGUAGUCCGGAUUGGAGUCUGCAACUCGACUCCAUGAAGUCGGAAUCGCUAGUAAUCGCAGAUCAGAAUGCUGCGGUGAAUACGUUCCCGGGCCU